UACGUAGGGGGCAAGCGUUGUCCGGAAUCAUUGGGCGUAAAGCGCACGUAGGCGGCCUCAAAAGUCGGAUGUGAAAUCCCGUGGCUCAACCAUGGACGUGCAUUCGAAACUGCGAGGCUUGAGUAUGGAAGAGGGUCGCGGAAUUCCCGGUGUAGAGGUGAAAUUCGUAGAUAUCGGGAGGAACACCAGUGGCGAAGGCGGCGACCUGGGCCAAUACUGACGCUGAGGUGCGAAAGCGUGGGGAGCAAACAGG
This 253-nucleotide ribosomal RNA is filed under the name uncultured bacterium. RNAcentral describes it as "partial 16S ribosomal RNA". It matches the Rfam family "Bacterial small subunit ribosomal RNA", at positions 524 to 776 of the family's 1533-position model. The record is from RNAcentral.